This 72-nucleotide transfer RNA is filed under the name Phrynosoma platyrhinos (Desert horned lizard). RNAcentral's name for it is "tRNA-OTHER". Lineage: Eukaryota; Metazoa; Chordata; Lepidosauria; Squamata; Phrynosomatidae. The record is from RNAcentral.
GCCAGUAUGGCUUAGUGGUUUGAGUGUUGGAUGAUGUCUCUGGAGACCUGGGUUCAAUUCCUAGCUUGGCCA